GAUGAACGCUAGCGGGAGGCCUAACACAUGCAAGCCGAGCGGUAUUGUUUCUUCGGAAAUGAGAGAGCGGCGUACGGGUGCGGAACACGUGUGCAACCUGCCUUUAUCUGGGGGAUAGCCUUUCGAAAGGAAGAUUAAUACUCCAUAACAUAUUGAUUGGCAUCAAUUAAUAUUGAAAGCUCCGGCGGAUAGAGAUGGGCACGCGCAAGAUUAGCUAGUUGGUGAGGUAACGGCUCACCAAGGCGAUGAUCUUUAGGGGGCCUGAGAGGGUGAUCCCCCACACUGGUACUGAGACACGGACCAGACUCCUACGGGAGGCAGCAGUGAGGAAUAUUGGUCAAUGGGUGCAAGCCUGAACCAGCCAUCCCGCGUGAAGGACGACUGCCCUAUGGGUUGUAAACUUCUUUUGUAUAGGGAUAAACCUACCCUCGUGAGGGUAGCUGAAGGUACUAUACGAAUAAGCACCGGCUAACUCCGUGCCAGCAGCCGCGGUAAUACGGAGGGUGCAAGCGUUAUCCGGAUUUAUUGGGUUUAAAGGGUCCGUAGGCGGACUUAUAAGUCAGUGGUGAAAGCCUGUCGCUUAACGAUAGAACUGCCAUUGAUACUGUAAGUCUUGAGUAUAUUUGAGGUAGCUGGAAUAAGUAGUGUAGCGGUGAAAUGCAUAGAUAUUACUUAGAACACCAAUUGCGAAGGCAGGUUACCAAGAUAUAACUGACGCUGAGGGACGAAAGCGUGGGGAGCGAACAGGAUUAGAUACCCUGGUAGUCCACGCCGUAAACGAUGCUAACUCGUUUUUGGGCUUUAGGGUUCAGAGACCAAGCGAAAGUGAUAAGUUAGCCACCUGGGGAGUACGCUCGCAAGAGUGAAACUCGAAGGAAUUGACGGGGGCCCGCACAAGCGGUGGAUUAUGUGGUUUAAUUCGAUGAUACGCGAGGAACCUUACCAAGACUUAAAUGGGAAUUGACAGCUUUAGAAAUAGAGCUUUCUUCGGACAAUUUUCAAGGUGCUGCAUGGUUGUCGUCAGCUCGUGCCGUGAGGUGUUAGGUUAAGUCCUGCAACGAGCGCAACCCCUGUCACUAGUUGCCAUCAUUCAGUUGGGGACUCUAGUGAGACUGCCUACGCAAGUAGAGAGGAAGGUGGGGAUGACGUCAAAUCAUCACGGCCCUUACGUCUUGGGCCACACACGUAAUACAAUGGCCGGUACAGAGGGCAGCUACACAGCGAUGUGAUGCAAAUCUCGAAAGCCGGUCUCAGUUCGGAUUGGAGUCUGCAACUCGACUCUAUGAAGCUGGAAUCGCUAGUAAUCGCGCAUCAGCCAUGGCGCGGUGAAUACGUUCCCGGGCCU
This 1345-nucleotide ribosomal RNA is filed under the name uncultured bacterium. Its description in RNAcentral is "bacterial SSU rRNA". It matches the Rfam family "Bacterial small subunit ribosomal RNA", at positions 28 to 1381 of the family's 1533-position model. The record is from RNAcentral.